CGCUAUCAUCAUUAACUUUAUUUAUUACCGUCAUUCAUUUCUGAAUGUCUGUUUACCCCUAUUUCAGCCGAAUGCUUCGCAUUCGGUUUUUUUU
This 94-nucleotide non-coding RNA is filed under the name Salmonella enterica subsp. houtenae str. ATCC BAA-1581. RNAcentral's name for it is "MicF RNA". It matches the Rfam family "MicF RNA". Rfam says of the family: The micF gene is a stress response gene found in Escherichia coli and related bacteria that post-transcriptionally controls expression of the outer membrane porin gene ompF. The micF gene encodes a non-translated 93 nt antisense RNA that binds its target ompF mRNA and regulates ompF expression by inhibiting translation and inducing degradation of the message. The record is from RNAcentral. Lineage: Bacteria; Pseudomonadati; Pseudomonadota; Gammaproteobacteria; Enterobacterales; Enterobacteriaceae.